CAGCAGCCGCGGGAAUACGGAGGGUGCGAGCGUUAAUCGGAAUUACUGGGCGUAAAGCGUACGCAGGCGGUUUGUUAAGUCAGAUGUGAAAUCCCCGAGCUUAACUCGGGAACUGCAUUUGAAACUGGCAGGCUAGAGUCUCGUAGAGGGGGGUAGAAUUCCAGGUGUAGCGGUGAAAUGCGUAGAGAUCUGGAGGAAUACCGGUGGCGAAGGCGGGUCUCUGGGCAGUAACUGACGCUGAGGAGCGAAAGCGUGGGGAGCGAACAGGAUUAGAUACCCCUGUAGUCCCUGUCUCUUAUAC
This 301-nucleotide ribosomal RNA is filed under the name uncultured bacterium. RNAcentral's name for it is "partial 16S ribosomal RNA". It matches the Rfam family "Bacterial small subunit ribosomal RNA", at positions 509 to 807 of the family's 1533-position model. The record is from RNAcentral.